GGCUGGUUGGCUACGUUCGGGAGGGAUAACCGCUGAAAGCAUCUAAGCGGGAAGCCUGCUUCGAGAUGAGGACUCCCACCCCCUGGAGGGGUUAAGGCUCCCAGUAGACGACUGGGUUGAUAGGCCAGGUAUGGAAGCCCUGUGAGGGGUGGAGUUGACUGGUACUAAUAGGCCGAGGGCUUGUCCUCAGUUG
This 193-nucleotide ribosomal RNA is filed under the name Streptomyces triticagri. RNAcentral's name for it is "Streptomyces sp. NEAU-YY421 partial 23S ribosomal RNA". It matches the Rfam family "Bacterial large subunit ribosomal RNA", at positions 2739 to 2925 of the family's 2925-position model. Lineage: Bacteria; Bacillati; Actinomycetota; Actinomycetes; Kitasatosporales; Streptomycetaceae. The record is from RNAcentral.